Ribosomal RNA from Schizosaccharomyces osmophilus, 118 nucleotides. The record is from RefSeq and is a predicted model, not a curated record. Lineage: Eukaryota; Fungi; Ascomycota; Schizosaccharomycetes; Schizosaccharomycetales; Schizosaccharomycetaceae.
UGGAUCACCUAGGCGAAAACACCAGUUCCCGUUCGAACACCAAAGUUAAGCGUCCGAGGGUCUCGUUAGUUUAGUACUAUGAUUAGAGACAACAUGGGAAUCCGGGAUGCUGUAGGUA